CCCUUAGAUGUCCUGGGCCGCACGCGCGUUACACUGAUGCAUUCAACGAGCUUAUAACCUUGGCCGAGAGGCCUGGGCAAUCUUGUUAACGUGCAUCGUGAUAGGGAUAGAUUAUUGAAAUUAUUAAUCUUGAACGAGGAAUUCCUAGUAAACGCAGAUCAUCAAUCUGCAUUGAUUACGUCCCUGCCCUUUGUACACACCGCCCGUCGCUGCAACUGAUUGGGUGACCUGGUGAACAUCUUGGACCGGCUCACUCAAUUUCGAGAGGACUGGAAAAGGCCGUAAAUCAGGUACAUCUAGAAAUUGCAAAAGUCGUAACA
This 320-nucleotide ribosomal RNA is filed under the name uncultured eukaryote. RNAcentral's name for it is "partial 18S ribosomal RNA". It matches the Rfam family "Eukaryotic small subunit ribosomal RNA", at positions 1470 to 1796 of the family's 1831-position model. The record is from RNAcentral.